This 21-nucleotide non-coding RNA is filed under the name Arabidopsis thaliana (thale cress). Lineage: Eukaryota; Viridiplantae; Streptophyta; Magnoliopsida; Brassicales; Brassicaceae. The record is from RNAcentral.
UGAGUCCCAAACGUGCGAUCA